UAGGGAAUCUUCGGCAAUGGACGAAAGUCUGACCGAGCAACGCCGCGUGAGUGAAGAAGGUUUUCGGAUCGUAAAACUCUGUUGGUAGAGAAGAACGUUGGUGAGAGUGGAAAGCUCAUCAAGUGACGGCAACUACCCAGAAAGGGACGGCUAACUACGUGCCGAG
This 166-nucleotide ribosomal RNA is filed under the name uncultured bacterium. RNAcentral's name for it is "partial 16S rRNA". It matches the Rfam family "Bacterial small subunit ribosomal RNA", at positions 355 to 512 of the family's 1533-position model. The record is from RNAcentral.